AUUCGCUUGAUCAAUAUAUUUAAGAAGAAAAAAAAAUAUAUAAUAUAUAUAUGUAAUAUUUUCUUUUUAAAUGUAGAAUGUAUCAGUUAUAGGAAAAUGCAACGAAAUAGAAAUACAUAUGCAUUGCACGAACAUGGAAAUAGAUCGCAAUUAUGUGAAUUAUACGAGUCCUUGAACGACAAAAAAGAAAAAAAAAAAAAAAAGAAAAAAGAGAGAAAAAAAAGGAAAAAAACGGAAAAUAAAAGUAAAACGCAACAAAUUAAACAGAUAGUAAAAUGAAUUAUUCACGAAAGGAACGAUAAACAAAUGACAAGACUCACUUGCUGUUUGUGCUUAGUAGGCCUUUAAAAAAAAAUGUAACGGGAGAACGUGAAGUAUGGAGUAUGACUCAUAAAAAAUUAUCGAAUACUUUUUAAAACUGUAUCACAUCUCGUUUUAGUAUGAUCCCUAAUAUACAUUAUCAUCUAUUUUUACAAUAGAAUUAUAAAAGAUAGGAUACUAUCUUCCAAGUUCAAGUAUUUCGUCGGACAAAUUUAUAUAUAUAUAUAUAUAUAAUAGAUAUCAUAGAAUAUUUAUAUAGAAAAAAAGUAUAACUAUAUAUCAAAAAUGCAUCUGUCGAUCGAUGAAGAAUUCUUGGAAAAUAUAAAAUCUUUUGAAACAUAUAAUAUCUCUUGAAAAAUAUGAAAUUAAUGAUUUUCGACAGAUAUGCAUGUACUUAUACUUAUUCAUGUAUAAUUUAUGAACUUUUCCAAAACGUAUUACGAUAACGAAAUUAAGUCGUUGCAAUCUGAAGUUGCAUAAAAAAAAAAAAAAAAAUAAGGAAAAGAUAUCUGCGUAGAACAUGUCUAGCACAGGUACAUACAUACAUAUAUACAUACAUACAUACAUACAUACAUACAUACAUACAUACAUACAUACACAGCACACAGCACAAUGCAAUACAACAUAUAUACAAAAUACUGAAGCAAUGAAGAUAAAACGUUACGGAUAAACGUGGACACAUACGUAACAUACUGUUAGAGAAUACGAUGCAAUAGUAUAUCCUCUUUUUCAUCAUCCGGCAUACUUAGAUGUAAAAAAAAAAAAAAGAAAAAAAAAGGAAGAAAAAAAAAAUUAAAAAAAGUUUCGUAUUGAGUCCGCCGCUUUUAAUUGCUCGCUUCCUCUUUCGAGUACCACUCUUUUAGACGGCCCGACAAGGUACUAUUAGGGUUGAAAGCAGAUUUUUCUGUAUGCGUUGCUUCCAUGCUACUGGCAUGUAGCCCACCUACGUCAGCCAUCGCCGGCCAUUCUAAUUGGUGUAAGGAGAGUAGAGAAUGAACGAAAAAAAGGUGCUGUUAGAGGAGGAGGAGGAAGAGGAAGAGGAGGAGAAGGAAGAGGAGGUUAGCGAAUUAGAGAAAUGACUCUUCUUUACUCGUCAAGUGGUGCAGAGUUUGAAAGGGAGAGGAAGGGUCAUUGGCCUUUAACUUGUACAGCAGAGCACCCGUUGGCAGACGUUUUUUCGCAGAGAAAACCGAUUACGAAUUAAUCAUCACGUUG
Vespula pensylvanica (western yellowjacket) is the source of this 1536-nucleotide long non-coding RNA. RefSeq lists it as uncharacterized. Lineage: Eukaryota; Metazoa; Arthropoda; Insecta; Hymenoptera; Vespidae. The record is from RefSeq and is a predicted model, not a curated record. The transcript is spliced from 2 exons.